RNAcentral lists this ribosomal RNA (497 nucleotides) under uncultured bacterium. Its description in RNAcentral is "partial 16S ribosomal RNA". It matches the Rfam family "Bacterial small subunit ribosomal RNA", at positions 28 to 507 of the family's 1533-position model. The record is from RNAcentral.
GAUGAACGCUGGCGGCGUGCCUAAUACAUGCAAGUCGAGCGAACAGACGAGGAGCUUGCUCCUUUGACGUUAGCGGCGGACGGGUGAGUAACACGUAGGUAACCGACCUAUAAGACUGGGAUAACUUCGGGAAACCGGAGCUAAUACCGGAUAAUAUUUCGAACCGCAUGGUUCGAUAGUGAAAGAUGGCUUUGCUAUCACUUAUAGAUGGACCUGCGCCGUAUUAGCUAGUUGGUAAGGUAACGGCUUACCAAGGCAACGAUACGUAGCCGACCUGAGGGGGUGAUCGGCCACACUGGAACUGAGACACGGUCCAGACUCCUACGGGAGGCAGCAGUAGGGAAUCUUCCGCAAUGGGCGAAAGCCUGACGGAGCAAAGCCGCGUGAGUGAUGAAGGUCUUCGGAUCGUAAAACUCUGUUAUUAGGGAAGAACAAAAGUGUAAGUAACUGUGCACGUCUUGACGGUACCUAAUCAGAAAGCCACGGCUAACUACGUG